This 616-nucleotide long non-coding RNA is filed under the name Mustela putorius furo (domestic ferret). RNAcentral describes it as "lncRNA (ENSMPUG00000031517.1)". The record is from RNAcentral. Lineage: Eukaryota; Metazoa; Chordata; Mammalia; Carnivora; Mustelidae.
GUUACAGAGCCGGGGAACCGCAGAGCUGGGAUUCAAACCUCAGUGAGCUCAGAAUCUCGCUGAUGGUUAUCUCAGGGUCUGGCCCCUCUCAUCCCCCUUGUGGGUCUCCUGGAUUAUCAUUGGAUUCCUUUGACUUGCCCAUCCUGGCUGGCAUCUAGACACACUCAGUCUGGGCUCCCCCCAGAGCAGACUCCGAGGCAAGGAUUUGGAGGGAAGCCCCUUGUUUAGCAGGAGAUCCAGGAAGUGGAACAGGAAGGGGGAAGUGAGAGGAGAGGAAAGCCAAUAAAGGAUGCAUUCAGGAGUGGGGUACCACUGUGGGCAACAGGGAUGCCUUUCUGCUGGGCCGUCUGGGAAGCUGUGCAGAUUACACUUGGGGGGCUCCACCCGAGGGACAAGGGAGCUGGGGUGCACAGGAAUGAACGGAUUCCCUCAGGCACUCAUCCAGGAGAGCUCAGUAUUAUCACCAGGCUGGCCAGACCUUCCCCACCAGACUGUUCCCCUCCCUGCUGUCGUGGACAUGGGCCACCAUAUUUGUAAUGUAGCUUCAUCCUUCCAGGACACCUGCUGCCCUUCAUGUACAUAUUUAUGUACUCAAGAACAAUAAAUAAUGGGUAGG